Molecule: long non-coding RNA, 989 nt
Filed under: Sorghum bicolor (sorghum)
Lineage: Eukaryota; Viridiplantae; Streptophyta; Magnoliopsida; Poales; Poaceae
Description: long non-coding RNA (SBIC_LNC009367)
Source: RNAcentral
CCUUGACAAUCUUUGCUUUCUCAAAUAUGAACUUCCCUUCCUUGUAUCUCUGCGACUCCUCAUAAGCCCUCUCAUAUUUCCACCCUAGCACCUCACGGCAAUCACGGCAGUAGAUAUCAGCGACGGUGUGAAGGCCUGUCAUGAGUUGCCUAUCCUCCUUAGGCCCCACAGCUAUGUUCAUGGCAUGGGAAUACAGAAAUGCACGGCCGUACCUUCCCUAGAACAGUCAGAAGAGCAAAAGGGAGAGACAAUAUCAUCCUUCAAAGACAAUGAGACAAACCAAAAAAAAAAAAACUCUAUCCAACUACAGCUUGUUCUUCAUCUAAAUGAAUCGCCACUGUUGUCGCAACAAACAACUACACUCAUGUUAAAAUGCAUUCAUGGUUUGUCAAUUUCUGUAGACUGUACCAGAGCAAUCUCUGAUGUAGUAACUCUGCACAGAGACGAAUUCAGGUCUCACUAGGAAAUACAGCAACCAAUGAAAAUCACUGUUGGAAAGGAAGGGUUGUUACUAGGAAAUAUGAAUGCAGCAAGUAAACAGGCUUUCUCAGGUUGCUGCCGAGCUUCUUCAAUUCUACCGCAGCCAAACUACUAGUGUUGUCAUUAAUGGACUAAUUAAGGAAAUUCUUUACUGUUUACUCGCUGACUCAUGGCAGCUAAAUUAUUGGAUGUCACAAACAAUGCGCCCAAAACUACUUUUUUUUUGGCGAGGACGCCCAACACUACUGUUACUGUCUCGCAAAAAAAACAAGCAAAAAAAAAAAGAACACUACUGUUACUGAAGAACUAGGCCCAUGGUUAGGAAGGAAUCUGAAAUCCCCCACCCCCAAGAACUGAGACGGAGCUCGGCAGCUCUUCACCUGAAAGGCCUUGGAAAUAAUGUCGUCGUGGAGGCAGACGUGGUUCCGGCAAUGGCAGCAGCUGUACACUCGCGGCCCCACCAAGUCCACCAUCGUCGGCGCCCUUCCCUCCCCUGCAUCCAAUCCACG